GCCCUCGUAGUCCAAUCAGGUAGAGGCGCUUCGUUGAGGACGAAGAUGGUGCAGGUUCGAAUCCUGUCGGGGGCA
This 75-nucleotide transfer RNA is filed under the name Actinomadura craniellae. It matches the Rfam family "tRNA". Rfam says of the family: Transfer RNA (tRNA) molecules are approximately 80 nucleotides in length. Their secondary structure includes four short double-helical elements and three loops (D, anti-codon, and T loops). Lineage: Bacteria; Bacillati; Actinomycetota; Actinomycetes; Streptosporangiales; Thermomonosporaceae. The record is from Rfam by way of RNAcentral.